Molecule: ribosomal RNA, 750 nt
Filed under: Xenopus fischbergi (Fischberg's clawed frog)
Lineage: Eukaryota; Metazoa; Chordata; Amphibia; Anura; Pipidae
Description: partial 16S ribosomal RNA
Rfam family: Bacterial large subunit ribosomal RNA
Source: RNAcentral
AACUUAUGUUAGAACUAGUAAUGUGAAUUUCACUAUUCUCCAAAAAUGUAGGUGUAAAUCAGAUCGAAUAAAUCACUGAUAUUUAACGCUUUCUAUGAGACUAUUGCAUCAACAACACAAGAAAAACAUGCGUUUAAUAACGUUAAUCUAACACAAGAACAUUCAAGGAAAGAUAAAAAGACGCAGAAGGAACUCGGCAAACCCGAACCUCGCCUGUUUACCAAAAACAUCGCCUCUUGCUAAUUAACACGUAUAAGAGGUCCAGCCUGCCCAGUGACUAUAUGUUCAACGGCCGCGGUAUUCUGACCGUGCAAAGGUAGCGUAAUCACUUGUCUUUUAAAUAAAGACUGGUAUGAAUGGCAUCACGAAGGUUCAACUGUCUCCUGCAUCCUAUCCAUAAAACUGACCUCCCCGUGCAGAGGCGGGGAUACGACCAUAAGACGAGAAGACCCUAUGGAGCUUCAAACUAAAGGCAACCGCCAACUAUUAUUUAACCACCAGGGAUUAACAAAUAAACAAGCAUGUAUGACCUAAAGUUUUCGGUUGGGGCGACCACGGAGGAAAAAAAAUCCUCCUUGAUGAAUAGGACAUUUAAUCCUUAACCAAGAAUAACAAUUCUAAGUAACAAAAUUUUUAGACUAUAAUUGAUCCAGUCUAACUGAUCAACGAACCAAGUUACCCUAGGGAUAACAGCGCAAUCCAUUUCAAAAGUUCUUAUCGACAAAUGGGUUUACGACCUCGAUGUUGGAU